CACUGUCCCCUAGGCUGCACAGUCCCGUAGGGCGGGGUAGAGGCGAGGGUUUGGUGAAAACACCUUAGAGGACAGGCCAUCUCUCCACACAACUGCAGGCUCUAUUCAUGCCAUUACGCCAUCUGGGUCCAGUGACCUGAUAUCGAUCAGGACAACUGGAGAAGGCCUAGGAUGCAGUGAGCACUUGGAGAAAUCCCGAUGGGAAGGACAAAGGAAGGACAGGUAUUGGAGAGAAAAAAGUCAGCAAAGAACCAAUGAAUCAUAUAAGGUCACAGGAUCAUAGAACAUCCCCAAAUCAACACAAGUGACUCCUGAGCCAGAAAUGUUCACUAAGGAGAAGCCUGUAAACUCCUUUCUUGAUUCCACUGGGAAAGAACUAAAUAAAAUAGAAAUUUGACACAAUGUCCUCCUC
Vombatus ursinus (common wombat) is the source of this 412-nucleotide long non-coding RNA. RefSeq lists it as uncharacterized. The transcript is spliced from 5 exons. NCBI's taxonomy places the organism in Eukaryota, Metazoa, Chordata, Mammalia, Diprotodontia, Vombatidae. The record is from RefSeq and is a predicted model, not a curated record.